UAAGCAACUUAUACCGUGAAACUGCGAAUGGCUCAUUAAAUCAGUUAUCGUUUAUUUGAUAGUACCUUACUACUUGGAUAACCGUGGUAAUUCUAGAGCUAAUACAUGCUAAAAACCCCAACUUCGGGAGGGGUGUAUUUAUUAGAUAAAAAACCAAUGCCCUUCGGGGCUCCUUGGUGAAUCAUAAUAACUUAACGGAUCGCAUGGCCUUGCGCCGGCGACGGUUCAUUCAAAUUUCUGCCCUAUCAACUUUCGAUUGUAGGGUAUUGGCCUACAAUGGUAUCAACGGGUAACGGGGAAUUAGGGUUCGAUUCCGGAGAGGGAGCCUGAGAAACGGCUACCACAUCCAAGGAAGGCAGCAGGCGCGCAAAUUACCCAAUCCCGACGCGGGGAGGUAGUGACAAUAAAUACUGAUACAGGGCUCUUUUGGGUCUUGUAAUUGGAAUGAGUACAAUUUAAAUCCCUUAACGAGGAACAAUUGGAGGGCAAGUCUGGUGCCAGCAGCCGCGGUAAUUCCAGCUCCAAUAGCGUAUAUUAAAGUUGUUGCAGUUAAAAAGCUCGUAGUUGAACCUUGGGCCUGGCUGGCCGGUCCGCCUCACCGCGUGCACUGGUCCGGCCGGGCCUUUCCUUCUGGAGAGCCGCAUGCCCUUCACUGGGUGUGUCGGGGAACCAGGACUUUUACUUUGAAAAAAUUAGAGUGUUCAAAGCAGGCCUUUGCUCGAAUACAUUAGCAUGGAAUAAUAGAAUAGGACGUGCGGUCCUAUUUUGUUGGUUUCUAGGACCGCCGUAAUGAUUAAUAGGGAUAGUCGGGGGCAUCAGUAUUCAAUUGUCAGAGGUGAAAUUCUUGGAUUUAUUGAAGACUAACUACUGCGAAAGCAUUUGCCAAGGAUGUUUUCAUUAAUCAGUGAACGAAAGUUAGGGGAUCGAAGACGAUCAGAUACCGUCGUAGUCUUAACCGUAAACUAUGCCGACUAGGGAUCGGGCGAUGUUAUUAUUUUGACUCGCUCGGCACCUUACGAGAAAUCAAAGUUUUU
Molecule: ribosomal RNA, 1034 nt
Filed under: Rhytidhysteron rufulum
Lineage: Eukaryota; Fungi; Ascomycota; Dothideomycetes; Hysteriales; Hysteriaceae
Description: SSU rRNA
Rfam family: Eukaryotic small subunit ribosomal RNA
Source: RNAcentral